GUGCGGGAGAAGGCCCUUGGGUCGUAAACCGCUUUCUUAGGAAGAAGCUCUGACGGUACCUAAGGAAUCAGCUCGUACUCCGUGCCAGCAGCCGCGGGUAAUACGGAGGAGGCAAGCGUUAUCCAGGAAUUAUUGGGCGUAAAGCGUCCGCAGGCGGCUUACCAAGUCUGCUGUCAAAUACCAGAGCUCAACUCUGGGUCGGCGGUGGAAACUGGCAAGCUAGAGUACAGUAGGGGUAGAGGGAAUUCCCAGUGUAGCGGUGAAAUGCGUAGAGAUUGGGAAGAACACCGGUGGCGAAAGCGCUCUACUGGGCUGUAACUGACGCUGAGGGACGAAAGCUAGGGUAGCGAAAGGGAUUAGAUACACCUGUAGUCUUAGCUGUAAACGAUGGAGACUAGGCGUGGCUUGUAUCGACCCGAGCCGUGCCGAAGCCAACGCGUUAAGUCUCCCGCCUGGGGAGUACGCACGCAAGUGUGAACAUCAAAGGAAUUGACGGGGGCCCGCACAAGCGGUGGAGUAUGUGGUUUAAUUCGAUGCAACGCGAAGAACCUUACCAAGGCUUGACAUCCCGCGAAUCCUGGUGAAAGCCGGGAGUGCAUUCGGGAGCGCGGAGACAAGUGGUGCAUGGCUGUCGUCAGCUCGUGUCGUGAGAUGUUGGGUUAAGUCCCGCAACGAGCGCAACCCUUGUCCUUAGUGNCCAGCAUUCAGUUGGGCACUCUAGGGAGACUGCCGGUGACAAACCGGAGGAAGGUGGGGAUGACGUCAAGUCAUCAUGCC
RNAcentral lists this ribosomal RNA (777 nucleotides) under uncultured organism. Its description in RNAcentral is "bacterial SSU rRNA". It matches the Rfam family "Bacterial small subunit ribosomal RNA", at positions 401 to 1199 of the family's 1533-position model. The record is from RNAcentral.